UGGCCUUUAUAUUACUCUGAAUAUGUAAGAUCUCAAUAAACAGUAAAUUUGAGGAGGAUUUGCUAUCAUCUUUUGAAUCGUUCAUCCCGGUGGCAGAUUUCUUGAUUGCCUUAAUUGGGGCUGCCCCAGUUAAUGAGAACUAAAUAGCUCUCAUGAUGAAAACAAGUGUUAUUCAUAACAGCUACUUGUAGUGAUGGUGUCUGGCAGAGUACCUUGCUUAUCCAGUGCUUUCCUGUGACAUUCCAUUUUGCUUUUCUCUUGAAGGGUGUUUAUGUUCGUCGGGUUGUGCCUACUGCUCCAGCAAGCAGUGUUUUGUGAAAGUGAUGGGAGAAGGUGCAGGAGAAGGAUUUAGAAGUUCUUAAUUUGCAGAACCUGAUGAUUGGGAAGCUGAUGAGGAUGUCGAUCUCGAGACGGCUAAUGAAGAUUCCAACGAACCCGAUGUACCGGAUCCAAACGAUGCGGUUUAUGCUAAUGUCCCUGACGAGACGCACAUGCUCAAGCUAGAGGAUAACUGCAAGCACUGCAAUGCAAAGAAGUUUGAGUCCGAGCCACCUGAAUUCUGUUGUCAUAGACACCACCGGAACUCGUGAGACUGUGGUUGAGCUCGGACGCUGAUGCUAGGCAUUUCCGUGCAAACAUCAGAUAUUUCAAUGAACACUUCUCUUUCACUUCUCUAUACUGUAAACUUGAUCGUGUGACCACCGACAUGACAAACUGUGGAAUUUACACAUUUCAUGCCCAUGACCAAAUCUACCAUAACAUAUGAUCAUUUGGUAAAGAGGAUGGUCACGAACCUGG
Long non-coding RNA from Setaria italica (foxtail millet), 798 nucleotides. RefSeq lists it as uncharacterized. NCBI's taxonomy places the organism in Eukaryota, Viridiplantae, Streptophyta, Magnoliopsida, Poales, Poaceae. The record is from RefSeq and is a predicted model, not a curated record. The transcript is spliced from 3 exons.